AACUUAGGUAGGUUCUAUUUGGCUGAUGAAAAAAAAAAGAAGCUAUUUUAGAAGCCAAACCAAACAGACAUAAAUUUAUUAUCUGAGGACCAAAAUUGGACCCGAAUCGGAUAAGCUAUUUUAGUACGUUCGAUUCAGCCACUUUAGUAGGUUUGAUUCAGUUUCAACUAUUUGGUCAACUCCAUUUGGAAGGCCAGGAAUGACUUAAUCUUUAGAAGUAUUUAAUCGAACCCUAUGCUUGUAACAUACAAGCUUAAGCAAAUGCUGAAGGAGUGGGACUAUCUUAUUCCAACAAGACAGACCUCUUAAUCCUUUUAUCCCUAUUCUUGUAACAUACCGAACCCUUUUUUUUUCCUUUUUUCGAGGCCCUAGCUGUAUCAUUCCUGUAGCCUAAUUCAUACUCCUUAUGAAUGAAGCGGAUAGCAUGCUACCUUUCUCUAAAAAAAAAAGCUAUUUGGUCAACCUA
RNAcentral lists this long non-coding RNA (466 nucleotides) under Ananas comosus (pineapple). RNAcentral describes it as "long non-coding RNA (ACOM_LNC002729)". Lineage: Eukaryota; Viridiplantae; Streptophyta; Magnoliopsida; Poales; Bromeliaceae. The record is from RNAcentral.